GAAUGAGCUUGUCAGCGGAGUGCUGCAAGCCGCAGCUUGUUCCCGCUGAUCGCUCAUCUCCGAUCUGGCCGUUGAUCUGGCAACUCCGGUUGCUGUGGCCGCGCCCUCUAUUGGCCAGACGCUGUCGUUUUCCAGCACUUAGCUCCGUGCCUCCAGUCAGCUGUUCUUCCGUCGUUAUCCAACACCACUUGCGGUGUGCUUGGCCAAUUUUGCCCAAAAACAAAAAGAAGGCAGCAACCAACAAGUGGCGCCAAGAAUCACAGCGAAGAAGAAUAGGAAAACAGGCACUUACCUGCUGUUCCUUCCCCCCCCUUCGGCCUAGGGCUCGACGGCGUCCCACUGGGAUUUCGGCCAGUACUAUUGGCCAGGUGGCCGCUUCUCUGCUUGCGGACUUGCGUUCCGCGCAGGCUAACUUCCGACGUUUUCCACUGAAUUAUACGGAACGAUUUAAAAACACGACCGCACUCACUAGAAUACACUCGUAUGUGUGUUGCCUUUGGCCAACAGUUAUGAGCCCUGUUUGUGGUGCAAUUAACGAGGGCCGCCAGCCAGUAAAUGAGCUUCCAGCUCCAGCUCCUGUUCGAACCUUGCCCGCUGGCACGUGCCGAUCCAGAAACCUCAGCCAGACAAUCUCAUCAGCGGCUCACCCCUGGACAUCCUGGCGAAACUCAAAUAUAAGCCCUUUAUGGCAAACUUUAUUAAUAUGCAAACGUUGUAGGAGCUGCGAAUACGUUAACUAAAUGUGCAAGAGGACAGCUCUGGGCGCUUUUCCGGGUGCCCCGAUUACAACGAACUUAAUGCUUUUUAAAAAGUUUUUCAAUAGGAAGAGUCACAAAGUUUUUGCUGGUCCUAUGCCAUCGGAACCGUAAAUCUGCGGAAAUCAUCUUAAAUGUAAUGAUUUCUGUGCGUUUUUAAGCUUCUCAAGCUCUCUCUUUGGGAAAUUACCUUCAUUAUCUGUACGAAAAUGAAAUGCACAAAAAGGCUGAAGACUGCCAUCAGGUGGGACUCCUCUCUGCCACCAAAUCCGUCUGUCAUGCGGUUUCCAUUUUCACAAUUUAAUAUCUUUUAAGGUUUCUGGUCACGUGCGUAAGGGUGAAGUGGCUCAGAGCAUUCACAUCUCCUGCAGCUGCUGUGUGUCUGUGACCUUUUUAAUGGGCUGACGGGUCACGCAGCCAUUUACACGAUUCUUUUUUAUUCAUUUUUGCGCCCGGCCUGAUACAGACUGCUAAUUUUUUGGCCGAAUCCCAUAAUACUAUUAAAUCGAAAUCACAUAAAUCGGACCUUAAAACCUGGAUUUUUGGGCAUAAAAAACUAAAUCGGGUGCCUAAACUCCAUGAUGCCUCGAAAUUGGAAAGGAAUCUGUGGUUCGGUGCUAGAGUAUCCAUUUUCCCACUCUUUAAGGUAUAUACUCGCCUUGUAGAUGGACUGGGAACCCAAGAAGUUCACGCACUGACAGUAUGACAGCCUCUUCUCCCACCCAAGUCAGGCUUGAGCAAAACAAUUUGGAAUAUUCGAAAAAUCUUUGAUACCAGCAACUGUGGCGUAUACUUAACGUGAAGACUCCUCCAAAGAGAGUCUACCAAUUACCAUGUGUAAACGCAAUUUAAUUAUUUAUAACGCAAUUGAAGUUUUUCUUUCGGUUGACUUGCAGAUGGGUUGCUAUAGGACUUAUCGGAGAGAUUCGUAAUCGAUCGCCCUUAAAGCAUGUGCCGCCGACCCCACUUAGGAAACUCAUCGAGCCACUCUCGACGGUAUCGACUUCAAAGAGCACCCCAAGCCGGGGACCAGGACCACAGCCAGAAUAAGGACCAGAACCAGAACCAGCACCCCUGCCCAGACCAGACAGUUUUGUUUUAUGGGCCUAGUCUCUGGUUGGCGUCUGUAUUUACUCUUGUACAUUGUGCCACACAUACUGGCAUAACCCGACUGACUCAUGGGUUCUUUUUAAGCACACAAAGUAUAAAAUACAAAAUACUUACCGAAUACAGAGAAUGGAUGGAUGGAGGGAGACUUGUGCUUGACUUUAAUUUGUGUGUAAACACUUUAAAUGGCGAGCCCCGGCAUUCCCGAGCGGGAAUUAACAGAGUACUCGGGGCACUUCAGCCCCAUCCGGCGGCAGUAAGGGAUGCGG
Long non-coding RNA from Drosophila miranda, 2131 nucleotides. RefSeq lists it as uncharacterized. NCBI's taxonomy places the organism in Eukaryota, Metazoa, Arthropoda, Insecta, Diptera, Drosophilidae. The record is from RefSeq and is a predicted model, not a curated record. The transcript is spliced from 3 exons.